Molecule: unclassified non-coding RNA, 303 nt
Organism: Vombatus ursinus (common wombat)
Lineage: Eukaryota; Metazoa; Chordata; Mammalia; Diprotodontia; Vombatidae
Rfam family: Metazoan signal recognition particle RNA
About the family: The signal recognition particle (SRP) is a universally conserved ribonucleoprotein. It is involved in the co-translational targeting of proteins to membranes.
Source: Ensembl
UCAGGGUAUGGUGGUACAUGUUUGCAAUAAUCCCUGCUUCUGAAAAGAAUGGAAGGUGGAAAUUUCCUGCAUUCUUAAGUUCUGGGCUGAAGUGGGCAAAGCCUAUCUGGUGUCUGUCUUAAGUCUGGCAUUAAUAUGAUGAGUCCCUGGGACCACGGGGCCACCAGAGUGCCUAAUGAGGGGUGAAUUAGCCCAGGUCAGAAAUGGAGCAGGUCAAAGCUUCCAUACCAAUCAGAAUGGAACUGGACCUGUGAGUAACCCUUGCACUUCCUUUCUGGGUGAAAUAGCAAGAUCCAAUCUUAA